GCGGGUUUAGCUCAGUUGGGAGAACGUCAGACUGAAGUAAAACUUCAACCCGUCAAUCCAGUUGAUAUCUGAAGGUCAUGUGUUCGAUCCACAUAAACCGCA
Molecule: non-coding RNA, 102 nt
Organism: Immersiella caudata
Lineage: Eukaryota; Fungi; Ascomycota; Sordariomycetes; Sordariales; Lasiosphaeriaceae
Source: the annotation of a GenBank genome assembly